UUAAGUGACUAAGCGUACACGGUGGAUGCCUGGGCAGUCAGAGGCGAUGAAGGACGUACUAACUUGCGAUAAGCGCAGAUAAGGCAGUAAGAGCCGUUUGAGUCUGCGAUUUCCGAAUGGGGAAACCCAACUGCAUAAGCAGUUACUGUUAACUGAAUACAUAGGUUAACAGAGCAAACCGGGGGAACUGAAACAUCUAAGUACCCCGAGGAGAAGAAAUCAACCGAGAUUCCGGUAGUAGCGGCGAGCGAACCUGGAUUAGCCCUUAAGCACUCGGUGAAGUAGGUGAACAAGCUGGAAAGCUUGGCGAUACAGGGUGAUAGCCCCGUAACCGACGCUUCAUCGAGCGUGAAAUCGAGUAGGGCGGGACACGUGAUAUCCUGUCUGAAUAUGGGGGGACCAUCCUCCAAGGCUAAAUACUCCUGACUGACCGAUAGUGAACCAGUACCGUGAGGGAAAGGCGAAAGAACCCCUGUGAGGGGAGUGAAAUAGAACCUGAAACCGUGUACGUACAAGCAGUAGGAGCACCUUCGUGGUGUGACUGCGUACCUUUUGUAUAAUGGGUCAGCGACUUAUAUUCAGUGGCAAGGUUAACCGUAUAGGGGAGCCGUAGCGAAAGCGAGUCUUAACUGGGCGCUCAGUCUCUGGAUAUAGACCCGAAACCGGGUGAUCUAGCCAUGGGCAGGUUGAAGGUUGAGUAACAUCAACUGGAGGACCGAACCGACUAAUGUUGAAAAAUUAGCGGAUGACUUGUGGCUAGGGGUGAAAGGCCAAAUCAAACUCGGAGAUAGCUGGUUCUCCCCGAAAGCUAUUUAGGUAGCGCCUCGGACGAAUACUACUGGGGGUAGAGCACUGUUAAGGCUAGGGGGUCAUCCCGACUUACCAACCCUUUGCAAACUCCGAAUACCAGUAAGUACUAUCCGGGAGACACACGGCGGGUGCUAACGUCCGUCGUGGAGAGGGAAACAACCCAGACCGCCAGCUAAGGUCCCAAAGUAUUGCUAAGUGGGAAACGAUGUGGGAAGGCUCAGACAGCUAGGAUGUUGGCUUAGAAGCAGCCAUCAUUUAAAGAAAGCGUAAUAGCUCACUAGUCGAGUCGGCCUGCGCGGAAGAUGUAACGGGGCUAAGCAAUACACCGAAGCUGCGGCAAUAUCUUUUAGACAUUGGGUAGGGGAGCGUUCUGUAAGCCGUUGAAGGUGAAUCGUAAGGUUUGCUGGAGGUAUCAGAAGUGCGAAUGCUGACAUGAGUAACGACAAAGGGGGUGAAAAACCUCCUCGCCGGAAGACCAAGGGUUCCUGUCCAACGUUAAUCGGGGCAGGGUGAGUCGACCCCUAAGGUGAGGCCGAAAGGCGUAAUCGAUGGGAAACGGGUUAAUAUUCCCGUACUUCUGACUAUUGCGAUGGGGGGACGGAGAAGGCUAGGUGGGCCAGGCGACGGUUGUCCUGGUUCAAGUGCGUAGGCUUGAGAGUUAGGUAAAUCCGGCUCUCUCUAAGGCUGAGACACGACGUCGAGCUACUACGGUAGUGAAGUCAUUGAUGCCAUGCUUCCAGGAAAAGCCUCUAAGCUUCAGAUAGUCAGGAAUCGUACCCCAAACCGACACAGGUGGUCGGGUAGAGAAUACCAAGGCGCUUGAGAGAACUCGGGUGAAGGAACUAGGCAAAAUGGUACCGUAACUUCGGGAGAAGGUACGCUCUUGAUGGUGAAGUCCCUCGCGGAUGGAGCUGACGAGAGUCGCAGAUACCAGGUGGCUGCAACUGUUUAUUAAAAACACAGCACUGUGCAAAAUCGCAAGAUGACGUAUACGGUGUGACGCCUGCCCGGUGCCGGAAGGUUAAUUGAUGGGGUUAGCGCAAGCGAAGCUCUUGAUCGAAGCCCCGGUAAACGGCGGCCGUAACUAUAACGGUCCUAAGGUAGCGAAAUUCCUUGUCGGGUAAGUUCCGACCUGCACGAAUGGCGUAAUGAUGGCCACGCUGUCUCCACCCGAGACUCAGUGAAAUUGAAAUCGCUGUGAAGAUGCAGUGUACCCGCGGCUAGACGGAAAGACCCCGUGAACCUUUACUACAGCUUGGCACUGAACAUUGAACCUACAUGUGUAGGAUAGGUGGGAGGCUAUGAAGACGUGACGCCAGUUGCGUUGGAGCCGUCCUUGAAAUACCACCCUUGUAUGUUUGAUGUUCUAACUUAGACCCGUUAUCCGGGGUUGAGGACAGUGCCUGGUGGGUAGUUUGACUGGGGCGGUCUCCUCCCAAAGAGUAACGGAGGAGCACGAAGGUGGGCUAAUCACGGUUGGACAUCGUGAGGUUAGUGCAAUGGCAUAAGCCCGCUUAACUGCGAGAAUGACGGUUCGAGCAGGUGCGAAAGCAGGUCAUAGUGAUCCGGUGGUUCUGUAUGGAAGGGCCAUCGCUCAACGGAUAAAAGGUACUCCGGGGAUAACAGGCUGAUACCGCCCAAGAGUUCAUAUCGACGGCGGUGUUUGGCACCUCGAUGUCGGCUCAUCACAUCCUGGGGCUGAAGUCGGUCCCAAGGGUAUGGCUGUUCGCCAUUUAAAGUGGUACGCGAGCUGGGUUUAGAACGUCGUGAGACAGUUCGGUCCCUAUCUGCCGUGGGCGUUGGAAGAUUGAAGGGGGCUGCUCCUAGUACGAGAGGACCGGAGUGGACGAACCUCUGGUGUUCGGGUUGUGUCGCCAGACGCAUUGCCCGGUAGCUAAGUUCGGAAUUGAUAAGCGCUGAAAGCAUCUAAGCGCGAAGCGAGCCCUGAGAUGAGUCUUCCCUGACAGUUUAACUGUCCUAAAGGGUUGUUCGAGACUAGAACGUUGAUAGGCAGGGUGUGUAAGCGUUGUGAGGCGUUGAGCUAACCUGUACUAAUUGCCCGUGAGGCUUAACCAU
This 2886-nucleotide ribosomal RNA is filed under the name Vibrio cholerae CP1046(19). Its description in RNAcentral is "bacterial LSU rRNA". It matches the Rfam family "Bacterial large subunit ribosomal RNA". Lineage: Bacteria; Pseudomonadati; Pseudomonadota; Gammaproteobacteria; Vibrionales; Vibrionaceae. The record is from RNAcentral.